RNAcentral lists this ribosomal RNA (247 nucleotides) under uncultured Actinomycetales bacterium. Its description in RNAcentral is "partial 16S ribosomal RNA". It matches the Rfam family "Bacterial small subunit ribosomal RNA", at positions 85 to 334 of the family's 1533-position model. The record is from RNAcentral. Lineage: Bacteria; Bacillati; Actinomycetota; Actinomycetes; Actinomycetales.
GGGUGCUCGAGUGGCGAACGGGUGAGUAACACGUGAGUAACCUGCCUUGACUUUGGGAUAACUUCAGGAAACUGGGGCUAAUACCGGAUAGGAGCUCCUGCUGCAUGGUGGGGGUUGGAAAGUUUCGGCGGUUGGGGAUGGACUCGCGGCUUAUCAGCUUGUUGGUGGGGUAGUGGCUUACCAAGGCUUUGACGGGUAGCCGGCCUGAGAGGGUGACCGGCCACAUUGGGACUGAGAUACGGCCCAG